This 385-nucleotide long non-coding RNA is filed under the name Nicotiana benthamiana. RNAcentral describes it as "long non-coding RNA (NBEN_LNC032621)". Lineage: Eukaryota; Viridiplantae; Streptophyta; Magnoliopsida; Solanales; Solanaceae. The record is from RNAcentral.
UAUCCCCUUUUACCUUUCGUGAUAAACUGGCUAAACUCAUAAAAAACAAAAAAAAAUAGCAUUGAAAUCGAUUUUUAUUGACCAAUCAGAAUUGCCUUCCAGGAUCUAUAAUUGCCUCAAAAUGUCCAAUAUAUAUACUUUUUAUUGACCAAUCAGAAUUGCCUUCCAGGAUCUAUAAUUGCCUCAAAAUGUCCAGUAUAUAUACAUUGUUGGACCUUUUGAAUAACAGCCAAGAAGAUCUUAUGAAAAUUGAACAUUUUUCGUAGCAAAGAUGUAAAACAGAUAUUGAGCAUUUUAGAAAAAUAUUUCGUAAUUGAUUUAGCAAAAAUUAAGUUUUAAAUCUAUUGGAUUUACUUAGUGAAAAUAGAUUGAAAAUCUUUAGCAC